UCGCGCGACGCCUCCCCUUCAGUUCUCCGACUCUCAUUUUCCGCAAGGAAUGUCUAUCGCAGACCUCUCAGAAAGGGCUGGCAAUCCGCGAUACGUCGUAACCGAGCCUGUAUCAGGACUUCGUGCUUGCUGCGUGUGGAUCUAUCGCGGCCCAUGGUUGUCCAUUCCAGACAAUGCAGCCCUCCUGAGAGAAUGAGACUCGGAACUUAACCCUAAGUAGCCUAUUGGUUCAAGUUUUGCGCCCGGAGUCGUCGACCCCUCCUUUUAAACCCACCCGGCCUUCCGUGAUGCUCUUACCGCUGAAAAGUGGUGUUGCUGAUCGGAGCCACGGUGGAUGGACCGGAAGGGAAGACAUUCCAGUCACCGUCUGGUGCUCAAGAGGGGGUUGCUAUGAGUCGUUUGGGUAAGAGCCUCUGGUCCGAGGCCGCUCGUCAGGAUCUAUCCGCUGGAACCAGUACUCUGACCAAGAGUGGAUCGCCUCGGGAAGAGGGCAGACUGGUCUGACAGGAUCGAGCCGGCAAUGUUCUGCUUUCCCGAUCUUUCGCCAUGUCUGUACACUUGGCUGGCUUCGGUGCCUUGGAGGCUGUGGGAAGAGCAACGCAUCGGCUACACACAGUCAUCAUCGAAGUUUCUGUAGGCGUACUUGCCUUGCUCUCGCCUCGCUAGUCACACUCCGGUGUUGCAAGGGGUUCAAGGCUACGAACGGAAACUAUUCGGUUUGACAACCCCAUCGUCAUGCGGCUAGCUCUCGGCACCCACAUCUCCAAGCACAACUCGGGACUCGACUAGCAGACAAGAGUCGCCUGCAUCGGAUCCUGCAGCCAUUCGGCUUCUCCCCUGGCCACACCAUGGCAUCUGCCACGGAUGUGACAUGCUUGCAUGUGAUCUGGUCAGGCGCAUUAGCCUCCCGUCGUGGGUUCUGUCCCACGACACCGGAGGACGCCAAACCCUUCUUGUUCCCAUUCGGGAGCAAGAUUUGCCCGAUGGCCAUCUAGAAAUGGAAGCCAACGGAUGACAGCGCGGUUUUUGUGGAUGUUCUUUGUCCGCGCGGAAUGCCCUCCUUUGGUGGCCUUCACAGUCCAAUUUCGGAGAGGAAACAUAAAACCAGUCCUCGGAGACCGUGCGAUCCGAACAGAGAGGGCUUCUUUCCUUUGCUGGGGGAUAUGCAGACUGCAAUUCAGCUCGCCGAAAUCCUGCUUGGCGGUGUAAGUGAUGGUUGAGGCUCGUGAGCGAGGGACACGGUACGCGAACCCUGCGAGACUCUCUAAUGGCUGGUGUUGACUGGUCGGAAACAUCUGAAGCGGCCCUGGGACCCAUCUCGUGUUGGAGUCAAAGUCUUGUGCUUGUCCGGGACCGCCAAGGGUGUGGACUGCCGGUCUUGCUCAGUCGCUCGGAGCUCCCGCUGUUGGACCACAAGGACAGGCCAUUGGAAGGGUAGUCCUGGUUGUCAUCUCUCCAGAAAUGGCGGGAUGGCAACCCC
This 1480-nucleotide telomerase RNA is filed under the name Colletotrichum chlorophyti. Its description in RNAcentral is "Ascomycota telomerase RNA". It matches the Rfam family "Ascomycota telomerase RNA", at positions 208 to 1846 of the family's 1858-position model. The record is from Rfam by way of RNAcentral. Lineage: Eukaryota; Fungi; Ascomycota; Sordariomycetes; Glomerellales; Glomerellaceae.